Non-coding RNA from Phthorimaea operculella (potato tuberworm), 72 nucleotides. NCBI's taxonomy places the organism in Eukaryota, Metazoa, Arthropoda, Insecta, Lepidoptera, Gelechiidae. The record is from the annotation of a GenBank genome assembly.
GCGCCAGUAGCUCAAUUGGCAGAGCGGUGGGACGGUACCCCACGGUCCCGGGUUCAAGUCCCGGCUGUCGCU